AGGUUAUUCGAUUAGAGGUGAAAUCGCAGUUCUUACACAACUGAGCCAUAGGUUCAAUUCCUAUAUGACCUA
RNAcentral lists this transfer RNA (72 nucleotides) under Metschnikowia orientalis. RNAcentral's name for it is "tRNA-Val". It matches the Rfam family "tRNA". From Rfam's summary of the family: Transfer RNA (tRNA) molecules are approximately 80 nucleotides in length. Their secondary structure includes four short double-helical elements and three loops (D, anti-codon, and T loops). Further hydrogen bonds mediate the characteristic L-shaped molecular structure. tRNAs have two regions of fundamental functional importance: the anti-codon, which is responsible for specific mRNA codon recognition, and the 3' end, to which the tRNAs corresponding amino acid is attached (by aminoacyl-tRNA synthetases). tRNAs cope with the degeneracy of the genetic code in two manners: having more than one tRNA (with a specific anti-codon) for a particular amino acid; and 'wobble' base-pairing, i.e. permitting non-standard base-pairing at the 3rd anti-codon position. Lineage: Eukaryota; Fungi; Ascomycota; Pichiomycetes; Serinales; Metschnikowiaceae. The record is from RNAcentral. RNAcentral also lists the same sequence under 1 other name.